UCCACCAGGACUGUCCAAGCAACAGGUUCGAGAAGUAAGAGAUGUCGAUGGCGCUCGAAGAUCGUGGCGUCGUCAUCUCUUACUUCUUGGUCGGCAGCUUCGGCUGUCGCGCGUAGAGGUUUGCUCUUUAACAAAGUGGAAGAAGUGUAGUACGUACCGAGCCGGUGCGUACUGCAAGUUGUGUGAUUGCAUCGAUCCAGGCUGAGCUUGUCAGCGCAGGCUGGAUCGCACAAACGAGUUCGUUCCUGUACGCGGGCCUUCGGGAUGGCAACAUCGAAGAGGGUCCAAGGUUAUAGGAUCAAGCGACUAAGUGCAUGUGGUGGAUGCCUUGGCGAUCACAGGCGAUGAAGGACGUGUAAGCCUGCGAAAAGCGUGGGGGAGCUGGCAAUAGAGCAUUGAUCCCACGAUGUCCGAAUGGGGAAACCCGGCCCGCAAGGGUCAUCUCACACUGAAUACAUAGGUGUGUAGAGGCGAACCGAGCGAAUUGAAACAUCUCAGUA
This 500-nucleotide ribosomal RNA is filed under the name uncultured bacterium. RNAcentral describes it as "partial 16S ribosomal RNA". The stretch from base 297 to 500 matches the Rfam family "Bacterial large subunit ribosomal RNA", at positions 1 to 208 of the family's 2925-position model. The record is from RNAcentral.